RNAcentral lists this ribosomal RNA (472 nucleotides) under uncultured organism. RNAcentral's name for it is "partial 16S ribosomal RNA". It matches the Rfam family "Bacterial small subunit ribosomal RNA", at positions 333 to 797 of the family's 1533-position model. The record is from RNAcentral.
ACACUCCUGCGGGAGGCAGCAGUGGGGAAUAUUGCACAAUGGGCGCAAGCCUGAUGCAGCCAUGCCGCGUGUGUGAAGAAGGCCUUCGGGUUGUAAAGCACUUUCAGCGGGGAGGAAGGCGAUACGGUUAACAACCGUGUUGAUUGACGUUACCCGCAGAAGAAGCACCGGCUAACUCCGUGCCAGCAGCCGCGGUAAUACGGAGGGUGCAAGCGUUAAUCGGAAUUACUGGGCGUAAAGCGCACGCAGGCGGUCUGUCAAGUCGGAUGUGAAAUCCCCGGGCUCAACCUGGGAACUGCAUUCGAAACUGGCAGGCUGGAGUCUUGUAGAGGGGGGUAGAAUUCCAGGUGUAGCGGUGAAAUGCGUAGAGAUCUGGAGGAAUACCGGUGGCGAAGGCGGCCCCCUGGACAAAGACUGACGCUCAGGUGCGAAAGCGUGGGGAGCAAACAGGAGUAGAAACCCGGGUAGUCCC